GAGUGAUGAAGGUUUUCGGAUCGUAAAGCUCUGUUGUUAGGGAAGAACAAGUGCGAGAGUAACUGCUCGCACCUUGACGGUACCUAACCAGAAAGCCACGGCUAACUACGUGCCAGCAGCCGCGGUAAUACGUAGGUGGCAAGCGUUGUCCGGAAUUAUUGGGCGUAAAGGGCUCGCAGGCGGUUUCUUAAGUCUGAUGUGAAAGCCCCCGGCUCAACCGGGGAGGGUCAUUGGAAACUGGGAAACUUGAGUGCAGAAGAGGAGAGUGGAAUUCCACGUG
RNAcentral lists this ribosomal RNA (280 nucleotides) under Bacillus pumilus. RNAcentral's name for it is "partial 16S ribosomal RNA". It matches the Rfam family "Bacterial small subunit ribosomal RNA", at positions 401 to 675 of the family's 1533-position model. The record is from RNAcentral. Lineage: Bacteria; Bacillati; Bacillota; Bacilli; Caryophanales; Bacillaceae.